Marmota monax (woodchuck) is the source of this 638-nucleotide long non-coding RNA. RefSeq lists it as uncharacterized. The record is from RefSeq and is a predicted model, not a curated record. Lineage: Eukaryota; Metazoa; Chordata; Mammalia; Rodentia; Sciuridae. The transcript has 4 exons.
GACUUCCCUGUCUUCUGGGCAGGAUGGGGAGGGGUGGGUGAGUGGACUUCACCCCCCCACACACACACUCCCUGGGCCCCUCCAGCUCCCUAGUUCAUGUGCAGGUUUUAUUGGAGUAAGUGGAGCAUUAAGAAUGUCCCAGAUGGAAAAAAUUCAAGCAGGGGAGAGAAUAAGCCAAAGACUACUCUCCAAUUGGGCCCAGAGAGACAGGGGCCAUGAAGAGGAACUGAUGUCCAUCCCUGACCUCCUGACCAAGCUGAAGACUCUACACCCUCAGACCCAGGGAGCUCCCGUCUGCAGGAAGAGCUUAGGAAAUAACCAGUUUUCGGCGGACACAACAUCUUUGUUUGUAUGUGGUGCUGAGGAUCGAACCCGGGCCGCAUGCAUGCCAGACCAGUGACUAAUCCCUACCACCCCAAGUACCUGAUGUGCCUUGGUCCAGAGCCUGGUUCCAUUGCUCCAGAAAAGGAGCCUCUAAUCUCAGUGACGUGGAGGAUGAGGAGGGCUACAGUCUCCCUGUGCAGCAGGUCCUUCUGCCAUGAUGCCCUGCCUCGCCUCCUGCCCAGAGCAAUGGAAUCAGCCAACCAUGGACGGAACCUCCGGAACCAUGAGCCCCAAAUAAACUUUUCUUCCUCUAA